RNAcentral lists this unclassified non-coding RNA (530 nucleotides) under Polistes canadensis. RNAcentral describes it as "eR degradation-enhancing alpha-mannosidase-like protein 2, transcript variant X1". The record is from RNAcentral. Lineage: Eukaryota; Metazoa; Arthropoda; Insecta; Hymenoptera; Vespidae.
AGUAACUUUUAAUAAUAAGUAGUGUACACAAAGUGAAUGUGUAUUUUAAUUCUAUAUACAUUUAAAAACAAACAACAAUUAAAAAUCUAAUAUAGAUAUUUUGUUUUAAUUAUUAAUUAAAGGAGUUUACUCGUUAAGAACGAUUGUUUUGGAACAGGUACAGGAAAAAGACUUACUAGAUUAAAAAAAAAAAACCGAUAUCAUAUUGGAGACGUUUUAAAAAAUUCUACUUUAAAUGAAUAGUAACAACAUUUGUGAUUUGAGAUAAUCGAUUGGAAAGGAUUAAUAAAAAGAACUCAAUAAAAAAUUAAACUACCAGAGAGCGCGAGUGAUUUUAAAUGUAUAUACAAUAAUCUAAAUCUACCCAAUAUGUCAAAAUAGUUCACGAGUAAUGACCACAUGGUGUGUAUUAGAUUUCAAAGAUGACAGUGGAUAAUUUAAUAAAAUUGGUUUACUUUUUGGAUUUCUAAUACUCGUAAGUGGUGCACGAGAAUAUAAGAAAAAAGAUUUAAUCGCUCUGAGGGAAGAGG